GAGGGAAUAUUGAUUAAUGUGCGAAAGCGCGAACCAGCAACGCCGCGUGUACGAAGAAGGCCUUCGGGUUGUAAAGUACUUUUCACCGGGAAGAGGAUGGACGGUUCCGGUGGAAUAAGUCUCGGCUAACUACGUGCCAGCAGCCGCGGUAACACGUAGGAGACGAGCGUUAUCAGGAUUUACUGGGUGUAAAGCGCGUGCAGGCGGUCUGUUAAGUUGGAUGUGAAAGCUCCCGGCUAAACUGGGAGAGGUCGUUCAAAACUGGCAGGCUAGAGUGUGGUAGAGGGGAGUGGAAUUCCGAGUGUAGCGGUAAAAUGCAUAGAUAUUCGGAAGAACACCAGUGGCGAAGGCGACUUCCUGGACCACAACUGACGCUCAGACGCGAAAGCCAGGGUAGCAAACGG
Molecule: ribosomal RNA, 404 nt
Filed under: uncultured bacterium
Lineage: Bacteria
Description: bacterial SSU rRNA
Rfam family: Bacterial small subunit ribosomal RNA
Source: RNAcentral